GAUCAUGGCUCAGGACGAACGCUGGCGGCGUGCUUAACACAUGCAAGUCGAACGGAGCACCCUUGACUGAGGUUUCGGGCCAAAUGAUAGGAAUGCUUAGUGGCGGACUGGUGAGUAACGCGUGAGGAACUUGCCUUUCAGAGGGGGACAACAGUUGGAAACGACUGCUAAUACCGCAUGAUGCGUAACUGGGACAUCCCGGAUACGCCAAAGAUUUUAUCGACUGAAAGAUGG
Molecule: ribosomal RNA, 234 nt
Filed under: uncultured bacterium
Lineage: Bacteria
Description: partial 16S ribosomal RNA
Rfam family: Bacterial small subunit ribosomal RNA
Source: RNAcentral